AUGUAUAAUCCAAACUCGACUGAAGGGAGACUUCCUAGCAGCCUGAUCGACAUUCCCAGAAGAGAAUCCCGUGAGGAGCAACCAGCCAAUGCCAGACCUUUAUUCUCGAUGGUCCCGCCCCCCGUAUCAUCCGCUGGCAUCGUAACCAAUAGAAAGGAGCAGUCGCUGGUAGCACCCAAUGAGAAUCGGAGAAGUGGCACCAUUGGCUGGGGCUGCCUCGCCGUGAAAACUGGGCCACCGCCUCCGUUACCCUGGAGCCCGAGUCGCAGCCCCAGGAGCCUCUGCCCCCGCCCUCGCCCCCGCCCCCUGCUCGGGGUUCAAACACAGCGCAACCUGGCAACCGCAGCCCACAGCCUCCCCCGCACCCUCCCGGGGAGGGACUCCCCCGCCGCCCUCGGGCGUCCGCCCAUUGGUGGGCUGACGCGGAGAUCCAGGGCUGGGAGGAUCCAGAACAUAGAGAAAGGGGGAGAAGACGGACCGGAAUUGGGACACUUCUGGAGAAAAGGAUCCGUGAAAUUAUGUGAAUACCGAUUAUAUAUCAAAACAAUGGGAGAAAGAUCAAGAAUCUCAGAUAUCAAUCAAGACGGAUACUCAGAACAAGAACAAUAUAGUGAUACCUUUUAUUCAGAUGAUUUUGAAAAUUCGUUUGCUUCCACCCAGUCAUCAAUCCAGAAGGCCUAUCAUAAUUCGCCAGUAAGGAAGAAAGGUCCUAAGAUAUACAGUUCAGAUAGUCAUCACCAAGUCUCUAGGAGAACAAGUUCUAAGUUUCCACCAAACAGAAGAGAAUUCAGAUUAGGACAUCGUUCCCAGAGCCUCAACAGGGAGCCUUCUCAGAAAGAUAUCGAUCUUCUAACCAAACGGGUUCUUACUGCCAGACUGCUGAAAAUUAGUGAGCUGCAAAAUGAAGUGACUGAACUCCAGUUCAAAUUAGAUGAGCUGCAAAAAGAAAACAAGGCUUUGAAAAGGCUUCAGUAUAAACAGGAGAAAGCCCUGAAUAAGUUUGAAGAUACAGAAAAUGAAAUCUCACAACUUAUAGUCAGACAUAACAAUGAAAUUAGAGCAUUAAAAGAGCGCUUAAGAAAAUCUCAAGAGAAAGAACGGGCAACUGAUAAAAAGGUGAAAGAUACGGAGUGUGAACUUUAUAGAACAAAAUGUUCUUUAAAGAAACUGAAAAAGCUCUCUGAGGCUAAGCACCUACCUGAACGAGAUGAUCUAGCAAAGAAACUAGUCUUAGCAGAGACCAAAUUAGAUGAUACAGAGAAAAAAAUUAAGGAGCUGUCAAAAAAUCUUCAGCUGAAUGCCAGCAGUUUCCAGCGACAGUUAAAUGUUGAAAAGAGAAGGGCACAUGAAGUUCAGGAUGAAAAUAAAAUUCUCCAAAGGGAGGUACAACAAUUAAAUCAAAAAUUGAGGGAAAAAGAGAAAGAACUAGAUGCAAAAAAUAUAUAUUCUAACCGCAUGGUGAGGAAAACUCCUAAGAAAGACAGAGAUGCUUCUCCAAGAAAAAAUGCUGUGAGCUCUAGUGUUAAAGGAGUACAUAGCACAAAAGGAGUACAAACUAUUGAAUAUUACAGAGAAGAAGAGCUUCUAUCAUCGCUAACUUUUGAUUCUCAAGACUCACUCAGACCAGAAGAGGACCAUUUUGCUACCCAGGAACAGAAAAGCCCAAAGAAGGAUGAAGAAACACCUGAGAUUAUAAUUACAGAAAGAGAAGAGAAACAUCUAGAAGAAGAUGAACUAUGUGUUACAAGAGAAGAAACUGAAACUUGUCAAGAUGAUGGUGCAAGAGAGAACUUUGAAUGUCAAACAGCAGGUGUGGUUUUAAUAGAGGAAGAAGAACCUAUAGCAGAAACAGCAGUUUGUCCUAUUGAAAAUGAAAAUAGUGAGAAGUCAGAACAAGAAGAAGAACAAAAACAAGAACAGCAAGAACAAGAACAACAAGAACAACAAGAACAAAACGAAGGCGAAAGACUGAAGAAAGAGAUGUUAAUUGCUAAAUUGAAUGAAAUUGACAAAGAAAUACAUACUUCCCUGAACUUAAAAGGUUCACAUUCAAAAUCAGUCUCUCCAGAGGAAAAAUCUCAAAGUUUCAGGUCUCAGAAUCCACUGAGAGGUUGUUUACUGGGUUUUUCAGUCAAGAUAGCAAUCAUAAAUCCCCAAAUAAUGCAGAUCAGAAACAAAGAAAUAUUUGGAGCCCAAUCCCUGUCACUGACUUCACAUUUGGUAGUUAUGUGCCUUCUUUUGGGAAAACAUCAGGGAGGUCGAAUGUAUAUAAUCAAAAAAGUGGCAUUUUAG
This 2292-nucleotide long non-coding RNA is filed under the name Monodelphis domestica (gray short-tailed opossum). RNAcentral describes it as "lncRNA (ENSMODG00000018425.4)". The record is from RNAcentral. Lineage: Eukaryota; Metazoa; Chordata; Mammalia; Didelphimorphia; Didelphidae.